ACUGGGCUAAUACGCAUAAGCAUGACGAUGGCCAUGCUGUUGUCUUCAAAGGCGCCAGUCGCCAGAAGAGGGAUCCGCGGCGAUUAGCUUGUGGCGGGGUAAUGGCUCACCAAGGCAUUGAUCGGUAGCCGGACUGAGAGGUUGGCCGGCACACUGGAACUGAGACACGGUCCAGACUCCUACGGGAGGCAGCAGUGGGGAAUCUUGCACAAUGGACGAACAGUCUGAUGCAGCAAACGCCGCGUGGGGGAUGAACGCUUCUCGGAGUGUAAACCCCUUUCGACCCGGAAGAAUGCCCGCAAGGGUUUGACGGUCACGGGUAUAAGAAGCCCCGGCUAAACUACGUGCCAGCAGCGCGGUAAUAACG
This 367-nucleotide ribosomal RNA is filed under the name uncultured bacterium. RNAcentral describes it as "bacterial SSU rRNA". It matches the Rfam family "Bacterial small subunit ribosomal RNA", at positions 157 to 527 of the family's 1533-position model. The record is from RNAcentral.